This 383-nucleotide unclassified non-coding RNA is filed under the name Hevea brasiliensis (rubber tree). Lineage: Eukaryota; Viridiplantae; Streptophyta; Magnoliopsida; Malpighiales; Euphorbiaceae. The record is from RNAcentral.
GGAUUGUUAAAUUAAAGAAAAUUUCAGUUCUUUUACAUUCUAGUGGACAACAGAAUUUCUCUUCCUUGUGGAUUCAAGGAUUUUUAAGCUUUAGAUGUGUUCUCGGCUCUGGCCUUGUUUAACGCUUCUGUAUAGCUUAUUUAUAGUUUUCCUUGUUGCUAAGCAAAAUCAAACAGAAAUUUUAUGUAGCAAGAGUUUUGAAGGAUUUUAGAUGAAGAAAGUGUGAAACUGAUGACUAGAGAAGAGGUUGAAUGUAGGGGAAAUGCAAGCUGGAGCUGGCAGCAAAAAUCUAGCCUUUUAUACAUGUAACAGCUGUUAGUCAUUAUCAUACUAGUAAUGAACAAAUGACAAUCGCUACUAAGGCAAAAUUUUUUUGCCUAUAG